This 1191-nucleotide ribosomal RNA is filed under the name Triticum aestivum (bread wheat). RNAcentral describes it as "partial small subunit ribosomal RNA". Lineage: Eukaryota; Viridiplantae; Streptophyta; Magnoliopsida; Poales; Poaceae. The record is from RNAcentral.
AUGAGCAAUAGCGUGCCCCAGCCGUACGCGCCGCCAUGGAAGGCGGCGGACCCCAAGAACCAUUUCCAGGGGCAUGUCGACAUGGACGUUGAACCGGAGUACGCACAUCGCGGUGACGAGGUGCCGCGCGGGUGCCGUGGCAUCCGCCACGACGAUGACGACUGCCCCAACCGCCACGCCGUCGGCCAUAACGACGACGACUACAAUGACCGCCGCGAUGGAUUUCGACUGAAGCCACCCAAGCACGCAUUUUCUGUCUUCAAAGAGUACAAAGCUUGCUGGCUUCCCCUGCGUCCCAAGCAGAUUGAGGCUGCAGAUGCAGAUGAGGCUUUGGUUGUUCCUCUUGAUGGUGAAUGGAUAUGGCACUGCCAUCGGCUUAAUCCGACUCAAUACAUAAAGGGCUGCAAGAGAUUAUAUGGCAGAAUACUAGACAGUAACAAUGUCAAGUCCAUUCAAGCAAAAUCCAAGGAUCAGGUUGAGAAAGUUUGGACUGAGUUAUAUCCUGGGGAGCCCGUUGAGUUGGAGUGCACAAGUCCUUCCGAAGAUUCUAUUUAUCUGAGUGAUGAAACUGCAGGAGGCUUUUCCUAUGAUUUGGUCUCAGUUGUUAAGAGACAAUCUUCUUUCGUCUACCAGGUUAUGAUCUUAACUGGGGAAACUGGUUCUGGGAAAAGCACACAAUUGGUUCAGUAUCUUGCUAACUCAGGUCUGGCUGCCAAGGGUUGCCACCUGGGAAGUAUAGUGCUGCAAAUACUCCAUGACACUUCUGUUUGUAAGGUACCUUAUUCUGCUACACACCAGUGGGAUCCUGGACUUUCUUCUGAAAUAAUUCAUGUGCAUUCACUGGGUACUUUGCAACUCCUUGGACAUGAUUGGGUGCAGUACAUUGAGCUUGGAAGUGCAUUUAGUCUCAGCAUUACAACGGGUAUGCAGUUGUUGCAGUUAUUGUCGAGAGCGAUGCUACUUGGUGUCAUUCACUCCAAGUUGUGGUUAACUGAUGGAUGGUUAGAGACAAAUAGUGCUCACAAUUUUCCUUGCCUUCAGUUUAGGGAAUGGAGAUCCUUCUUACAACAUGGCAAAUAUACUGCUUCAUUGAUACUGCCUUGGAAUCCAGACGGUUGGAUGGCAUCUAGCACUACACUUUUGUUUUCUAUUGUAUGUAGUUUCUUGCAUUGGAACCCUGGUUUACUCUAA